GCCUGUCUAGCUCAGUCGGUAGAGCAUGAGACUUUUAAUCUCAGGGUCAUGGGUUCAAGUCCCAUGUUGGGCG
Molecule: transfer RNA, 73 nt
Filed under: Takifugu rubripes (torafugu)
Lineage: Eukaryota; Metazoa; Chordata; Actinopteri; Tetraodontiformes; Tetraodontidae
Description: tRNA-Lys (TTT) (tRNA-Lys-TTT-8-1)
Rfam family: tRNA
About the family: Transfer RNA (tRNA) molecules are approximately 80 nucleotides in length. Their secondary structure includes four short double-helical elements and three loops (D, anti-codon, and T loops). Further hydrogen bonds mediate the characteristic L-shaped molecular structure. tRNAs have two regions of fundamental functional importance: the anti-codon, which is responsible for specific mRNA codon recognition, and the 3' end, to which the tRNAs corresponding amino acid is attached (by aminoacyl-tRNA synthetases). tRNAs cope with the degeneracy of the genetic code in two manners: having more than one tRNA (with a specific anti-codon) for a particular amino acid; and 'wobble' base-pairing, i.e. permitting non-standard base-pairing at the 3rd anti-codon position.
Source: RNAcentral